UAGGGAAUCUUCCACAAUGGGCGAAAGCCUGAUGGAGCAACGCCGCGUGAGUGAGGAAGGCUUUCGGGUCGUAAAGCUCUGUUGCCAGGGAAGAAUAAGGAUCAUUUAACUGAUGAUCCGAUGACGGUACCUGAGAAGAAAGCCCCGGCUAACUACGUGCCAGCAGCCGCGGUAAUACGUAGGGGGCAAGCGUUGUCCGGAAUUAUUGGGCGUAAAGCGCGCGCAGGCGGCUCUUUAAGUCUGGUGUUUAAGUGCGGGGCUCAACCCCGUGACGCACUGGAAACUGGGGAGCUUGAGUGCAGAAGAGGAGAGCGGAAUUCCACGUGUAGCGGUGAAAUGCGUAGAGAUGUGGAGGAACACCAGUGGCGAAGGCGGCUCUCUGGACUGUAACUGACGCUGAGGCGCGAAAGCGUGGGGAGCAAACAGGAUUAGAUACCCUGGUAGUCCACGCCGUAAACGAUGAGUGCUAGGUGUUGGGGGUAUCAUGCCCUCGGUGCCGAAGUUAACACAUUAAGCACUCCGCCUGGGGAGUACGGUCGCAAGACUGAAACUCAAAGGAAUUGACGGGGUCAU
Molecule: ribosomal RNA, 573 nt
Filed under: uncultured bacterium
Lineage: Bacteria
Description: partial 16S ribosomal RNA
Rfam family: Bacterial small subunit ribosomal RNA
Source: RNAcentral